This 237-nucleotide non-coding RNA is filed under the name Clostridia bacterium. Its description in RNAcentral is "T-box sequence". It matches the Rfam family "T-box leader". From Rfam's summary of the family: Uncharged tRNA acts as the effector for transcription antitermination of genes in the T-box leader family. T-boxes are found upstream of many aminoacyl-tRNA synthetase genes and some amino acid biosynthetic genes usually in Gram-positive bacteria. The anticodon of a specific tRNA base pairs to a specifier sequence within the T-box motif, and the NCCA acceptor tail of the tRNA base pairs to a conserved bulge in the T-box antiterminator hairpin. Lineage: Bacteria; Bacillati; Bacillota; Clostridia. The record is from RNAcentral.
GUGAAAUCAAUGACCGGGGGUAGUAUAUAAAGCUUUUCCCUACAGAGAGUCUGCGGUUGGUGGGAGCAGGCAGGUAAGCUUUAUGGAAUGGGCCCGGGAGAGCAGCCCGAAGUUGAGUAGGAGCUGACGGAGUUUUCCGCCGUUACAGGGAAACGGAUAUGUUGGUAUCUGUAUGUAAGAGGCUUGCUUUCCAGCAAGCAAUUUGGGUGGCACCGCAGGUAAAUUCCUGUCCCAUUA